UACGUAGGGGGCUAGCGUUGUUCGGAUUCAUUGGGCGUAAAGGGUGUGUAGGUGGCGCGCUAAGUCGGGUGUGAAAUUUCGGAGCUUAACUCCGAAACUGCAUUCGAUACUGGCGUGCUUGAGGACUGGAGAGGAGACUGGAAUUCAUGGUGUAGCAGUGAAAUGCGUAGAGAUCAUGAGGAAGACCAGUGGCGAAGGCGGGUCUCUGGACAGUUCCUGACACUGAGACACGAAGGCCAGGGGAGCAAACGGG
This 253-nucleotide ribosomal RNA is filed under the name uncultured bacterium. RNAcentral's name for it is "partial 16S ribosomal RNA". It matches the Rfam family "Bacterial small subunit ribosomal RNA", at positions 524 to 776 of the family's 1533-position model. The record is from RNAcentral.